Molecule: ribosomal RNA, 162 nt
Filed under: uncultured bacterium
Lineage: Bacteria
Description: partial 16S ribosomal RNA
Rfam family: Bacterial small subunit ribosomal RNA
Source: RNAcentral
UGAGGAAUAUUGCGCAAUGGGCGAAAGCCUGACGCAGCGACGCCGCGUGGAGGAUGAAGGCCUUCGGGUUGUAAACUUCUGUUAAAUGGGAAGAAAUACGCAGGUUUAAUAAACCUGUGGGCUGACGGUACCAUUAGAGAAAGCACCGGCUAACUUCGUGCC